This 218-nucleotide ribosomal RNA is filed under the name uncultured bacterium. RNAcentral describes it as "partial 16S ribosomal RNA". It matches the Rfam family "Bacterial small subunit ribosomal RNA", at positions 131 to 334 of the family's 1533-position model. The record is from RNAcentral.
UGGUAGGUGGGGAAGUAAACCAGUCGAAGACUGGCUAAUGCCGCAUACGACCUUUUUUCGUAUUGGAAAUUGGUGAAAGCGGGGGAUCGCAAGACCUCGCGCUAAUAGAUGAGCCGAAGUCGGAUUAGCUAGUUGGUGAGGUAACGGCUCACCAAGGCGACAAUCCGUAGCUGGUCUGAGAGGACGACCAGCCACACUGGGACUGAAACACGGGCCAG